UGGGGAAUAUUGCACAAUGGGCGCAAGCCUGAUGCAGCCAUGCCGCGUGUAUGAAGAAGGCCUUCGGGUUGUAAAGUACUUUCAGCGGGGAGGAAGGCGAUAAGGUUAAUAACCUUGUCGAUUGACGUUACCCGCAGAAGAAGCACCGGCUAACUCCGUGCCAGCAGACGCGGUAAUACGGAGGGUGCAAGAGUUAAUCGGAAUUACUGGGCGUAAAGCGCACGCAGGCGGUCUGUCAAGUCGGAUGUGAAAUCCCCGGGCUCAACCUGGGAACUGCAUUCGAAACUGGCAGGCUAGAGUCUUGUAGAGGGGGGUAGAAUUCCAGGUGUAGCGGUGAAAUGCGUAGAGAUCUGGAGGAAUACCGGUGGCGAAGGCGGCCCCCUGGACAAAGACUGACGCUCAGGUGCGAAAGCGUGGGGAGCAAACA
Molecule: ribosomal RNA, 427 nt
Filed under: uncultured bacterium
Lineage: Bacteria
Description: partial 16S ribosomal RNA
Rfam family: Bacterial small subunit ribosomal RNA
Source: RNAcentral